Molecule: long non-coding RNA, 1069 nt
Filed under: Homo sapiens (human)
Lineage: Eukaryota; Metazoa; Chordata; Mammalia; Primates; Hominidae
Description: HSALNT0270848
Source: RNAcentral
UUCCAUUCCAAAGGAGUAUAUUCCACUCCAUUGUCUUUGUAUCCAUUCCAUUCCAUUACAUUCUAUUCCAUUCAUGUCGAUUCCAUUCCAUUCCCUUUCAUUCCAUUAAAUUUCAUUACCUUACAUUACGUUACAUUACAUUACAUUACAUUACAUUACAUUACAUUACAUUACAUUACAUUCGGGUCCUUUCUAUUCCAUUUCCUUCGAGUCUAUUCCAUUCCAUUGCAUUCCAAUCAAGUCCAUUCAAUUCCAUUCCAUUUCAUUCGAUUCCAUUCCAUUGUAUUCCCUUCGAAUCCAUUGCAUUCCAUUCCAUUAGAGUCCAUUCCAUUAAAUCACAUUCUGUUCCUUUCAAGUCCAUUCCAUUCCACUCCAACGUACUCAAGUCAUUUCAAUUCCAUUCGAGUCCAUUCCUUUCCAUUCCAUUCCAUUCCACUGGAUUCUAUUCCAUUCCAUUCCAUUCCAUUCCAUUCCAUUCCAUUCCAUUCGGGUCCAUUCCAUUUCAUUCGAUUCCACUCCGUUCCCUUCCAUUCCAUUCGAGUCCAUUUCAUUCCAUUCCAUUCCUUUCAGAUCUAUUCAAUUCAACUACAUUCCAUUCAAAUUCAUUCCAUUCCAUUCCAUUCCAUUCCAUUCCAUUCCAUUCCAUUCGAUUUGGGUCCAUUCGAUUCCAUUCCAUUCAUGUCCAUUCUAUUCCAUUCGAGUCCAUUCCAUUCCAUUAAUUUUGGUUUCAUUCCAUUCCAUUCCAUUCAAUUCCGUUAGAGUCCAUUCCAUUCCAUUCCAUACCAUUCCAUUCCAUUCCAUUUCAUUCCAUUCCGUGCCUUGCAAUUCCAUUCGAUUCCAUUCCAUUCGGGUCCAUUCAAUUCCAUUCCAUUAGGGUCCAUUCCAUUCCAUUCCACUCCAUUCGGGUCAAUUCCAUUCCGUUCCAUUCCAUUCGAUUCCAUUUCUUUCCAUUCCAUUCCAUUAAAUUCGGGUUAAUUCAAUUCCCUUCCAUUCGAGUCCAUUCCAUUCCAUUCCGUUCCAUUCCAUUCCAUUCCACUCCACUCGAUUCCAUUCCACUUGAAUCAAUUCC